This 67-nucleotide transfer RNA is filed under the name Agrianome spinicollis. Its description in RNAcentral is "tRNA-Phe". It matches the Rfam family "tRNA". Rfam says of the family: Transfer RNA (tRNA) molecules are approximately 80 nucleotides in length. Their secondary structure includes four short double-helical elements and three loops (D, anti-codon, and T loops). Lineage: Eukaryota; Metazoa; Arthropoda; Insecta; Coleoptera; Cerambycidae. The record is from RNAcentral.
GCUUAAAUAGCUUAUUUGAAGAGCAUAACAUUGAAGAUGUUAAGGAAAUAAAUAUUAUUUUUAAGUA